CUCAUUUUUCUACUGCUCGUGGAUUUACGCGCACGUUGGAACCGAAGAGAGCUCUGUUGUUGCAAUGUUCAGCCCACAAGAGCUUACUGGUGAAGGAAUGGGACAAGACCCAUCUUUAUGCAAAGCCAGCGUUACAGUAAUGUUCCAGCAUCUCAUAAUCUAUCCUGGGGAAUUCAGCUGCCUCCCAGGGUGAAUACAGGUAUUCCUGAUGACAGUCUGCCUCUAUCUUACAGAGCAGCUUGUUGCUAUAUACCAUUGAAAAGCCUUCAGAGCUGAGAGGUUAGUUGAUAUUUUUUGUUCCUUACAGCUUAUGCCACCAAGUAGGCAGUUUCUAUGAUGAAUCAAACUAGCUCACUAUGACCGACAGUGAAAAUACAUGAACACCUGAGAAACUGGAGAACGCAGGGAGUGGGGGGUAACCAUGUCUGAGGAAUCUUUCACCCACAGCUUUGUUUUUCUCUAGGUACUACUAACCAAUAACCUGCUUGGCUCAAAGGGCCAGCACCUUCUCUCUAAAGCCCAAGAGGAGUUUGAGGUAAAUGGCUUUGCAAUAGUUACCAUCAAUGGCUGCUAUAUAAAAUUUUCUGUGAUUUUUGUGUGUGAUAGCACUGUGGUCUGGGUGAAUGUACACAGACAUAACUGGCUUAACCCAAAGUCUUUGAUCUCCUGAACCACCAGUGAUGAAUUGCUGCUCACCAGUGAUGAGUUGAAUACCGCCCCAGUCUGAUCAAUGUGUGACUGAAAGGUAUUUUCUGAGCUGUGAGCCUGCCUUCCAGUGACAUGUUCUAAAAAUUGCAAGUUAUUUGAGGAGGCUUUACAGCCAAUAGGAAGUUCUUGGGCUAAGUAGUGUUUCCUAUAAAAUGUGCCCUGAAACUUCUUUCUGCCAAGCAAUAGAUACAAUUGAGAGAUUGUAAAAUGUGACAUAGAAUGAAAGUCUCUCAAGACUACAUUUUUCUUUCUUGAUUUUGCAGGAAAACUAGGUGUCUGUGUUCACUCCAGGCUGAAGUUACAGGUCUGAGCAAAUAAGGUGUAUAAAAAAUGGAAUCUGUCUUGGAGGACAUCAGAAGGUGAAUUUUCCAAGUUCUUGGACAACCUAGCUGUUGAAAAGCUUUCUGGGUUUGGGGGGUAUUUCAGAUGUACCUUAAAGUGUUAGCAGACACAGAUUAAGACACUGGGAGCCAAUGAAACAGCAGUUGAGGGUUUGCUGUGUAUCACAUUUCUGUAUUUUAUCACCCCCUUCCUGCAACAUUAUUUAUCUGGAAUCUACCUGCCCUUUUGUUUUUUAGAUACAAGGGCUUGGUUUUGUUACCCAGGCUGGUUUCAAGGCCAUAGCUUUAAGAGAUCCUCUCACCACAGAUUUCCAAAGUGCUGGGAUUGCAGGUGUGAUUCAUGGCACCCAGACUUUGCUGCCUUUCUUACAUGAUCCAGGCCCAGAACCCAAACUCAGGCACUGUAUAGAUGACCACUUUCGUAAACUACUGACCUAGCUUGUUGCCAAUUGUUGAUUGAACUUCCCAUAACUCCACUUCGUGUCUGUUCCUCUGUAUACAGCCACCUUCUGUUCCCGUCAUGAGCCUUUAGGUCUCCAUUUGCAUAUUGCAAAUACUAUGUUCCAUGUAGGUAGCUCAUUCAGGGCCUUGCUCUUCACUUCAAAAAAGGUUCCCUUGAGGACUGGCUGUCAAUUUGUGUUGCUGUGUUGGUUGUUGAUGAAAAUAAUAAAAUGAUUGAUUACAUA
RNAcentral lists this long non-coding RNA (1735 nucleotides) under Homo sapiens (human). Lineage: Eukaryota; Metazoa; Chordata; Mammalia; Primates; Hominidae. The record is from RNAcentral.